UCAAAUGAGGAAUCUUAAUUCACAUCAGCAGUCCCAUAAAGACUGCUCUGAAAUGUCUCAAAACUCAGAAAUUCUGUGAAUUAUGAAACAUCAUAACCAGAAGGAAAUAUGAUUACAUCCUGCUUACCACCAAACAACUUUGAGGUCCCCUGAAUGGCUGCCCAGACCCCCUGGAUCCAGAUUCACCAGCUUGGAUGCGGCAGCUGCCUCAUCUCCCUGUCUCCACAAAAUUCAGCAAUACUGAAGUCUUGGAAAAAUCACCCACCAACCUCAGCACCAACACAAAUAAGUG
This is a long non-coding RNA of Alligator mississippiensis (American alligator), 292 nucleotides long. RefSeq lists it as uncharacterized. The transcript has 3 exons. The record is from RefSeq and is a predicted model, not a curated record. NCBI's taxonomy places the organism in Eukaryota, Metazoa, Chordata, Crocodylia, Alligatoridae.